GACGAACGCUGGCGGCGUGCUUAACACAUGCAAGUCGAACGGAAAGGCCCUGCUUUUGUGGGGUGCUCGAGUGGCGAACGGGUGAGUAACACGUGAGUAACCUGCCCUUGACUUUGGGAUAACUUCAGGAAACUGGGGCUAAUACCGGAUAGGAGCUCCUGCUGCAUGGUGGGGGUUGGAAAGUUUCGGCGGUUGGGGAUGGACUCGCGGCUUAUCAGCUUGUUGGUGGGGUAGUGGCUUACCAAGGUUUUGACGGGUAGCCGGCCUGAGAGGGUGACCGGCCGCAUUGGGACUGAGAUACGGCCCAGACUCCUACGGGAGGGAGCAGUGGGGAAUAUUGCACAAUGGGCGGAAGCCUGAUGCAGCAACGCCGCGUGCGGGAUGACGGCCUUCGGGUUGUAAACCGAUUUCGCCUGUGACGAAGCGUGAGUGACGGUAAUGGGUAAAGAAGCACCGGCUAACUACGUG
Molecule: ribosomal RNA, 468 nt
Filed under: uncultured bacterium
Lineage: Bacteria
Description: partial 16S ribosomal RNA
Rfam family: Bacterial small subunit ribosomal RNA
Source: RNAcentral